Molecule: ribosomal RNA, 933 nt
Filed under: Clostridium sp.
Lineage: Bacteria; Bacillati; Bacillota; Clostridia; Eubacteriales; Clostridiaceae
Description: bacterial SSU rRNA
Rfam family: Bacterial small subunit ribosomal RNA
Source: RNAcentral
GGUCUUCGGACUGUAAACUUCUGUUAUAAAGGAAGAAAGGCGGAUACAGGGAAUGGUAUCCGAGUGACGGUACUUUAUGAGGAAGCCACGGCUAACUACGUGCCAGCAGCCGCGGUAAUACGUAGGUGGCAAGCGUUAUCCGGAAUUAUUGGGCGUAAAGAGGGAGCAGGCGGCAGCAAGGGUCUGUGGUGAAAGACUGAAGCUUAACUUCAGUAAGCCAUAGAAACCGGGCAGCUAGAGUGCAGGAGAGGAUCGUGGAAUUCCAUGUGUAGCGGUGAAAUGCGUAGAUAUAUGGAGGAACACCAGUGGCGAAGGCGACGAUCUGGCCUGCAACUGACGCUCAGUCCCGAAAGCGUGGGGAGCAAAUAGGAUUAGAUACCCUAGUAGUCCACGCCGUAAACGAUGAGUACUAAGUGUUGGGAGUCAAAUCUCAGUGCUGCAGUUAACGCAGUAAGUACUCCGCCUGAGUAGUACGUUCGCAAGAAUGAAACUCAAAGGAAUUGACGGGGGCCCGCACAAGCGGUGGAGCAUGUGGUUUAAUUCGAAGCAACGCGAAGAACCUUACCAGGUCUUGACAUACUCAUAAAGGCUCCAGAGAUGGAGAGAUAGAUAUAUGGGAUACAGGUGGUGCAUGGUUGUCGUCAGCUCGUGUCGUGAGAUGUUGGGUUAAGUCCCGCAACGAGCGCAACCCUUAUCGUUAGUUACCAUCAUUAAGUUGGGGACUCUAGCGAGACUGCCAGUGACAAGCUGGAGGAAGGCGGGGAUGACGUCAAAUCAUCAUGCCCCUUAUGACCUGGGCUACACACGUGCUACAAUGGAUGGAGCAGAGGGAAGCGAAGCCGCGAGGUGGAGCGAAACCCAGAAAACCAUUCUCAGUUCGGAUUGUAGUCUGCAACUCGACUACAUGAAGUUGGAAUCGCUAGUAAUCGCGAA